AGAGUUUGAUCCUGGCUCAGAACGAACGCUGGCGGCAGGCCUCAAACAUGCAAGUCUAGGGGAUGUAGCAAUACAUCACCGGCGGACGGGUGCGUAACACGUGGGAAUAUACCUUUCGGUACGGAACAACGCAGGGAAACUUGCGCUAAUACCGUAUACGCCCUUACGGGGAAAGAUUUAUCGCCGAAGGAUUAGCCCGCGUUCGAUUAGCUAGUUGGUGAGGUAAUGGCUCACCAAGGCUCCGAUCGAUAGCUGUUCUGAGAGGAAGAUCAGCCACACUGGGACUGAGACACGGCCCAGACUCCUACGGGAGGCAGCAGUUGGGAAUCUUGGACAAUGGGGGAAACCCUGAUCCAGCCAUGCCGCGUGAGUGAUGAAGGCCUUCGGGUUGUAAA
RNAcentral lists this ribosomal RNA (395 nucleotides) under uncultured bacterium. RNAcentral's name for it is "bacterial SSU rRNA". It matches the Rfam family "Bacterial small subunit ribosomal RNA", at positions 8 to 429 of the family's 1533-position model. The record is from RNAcentral.